GAUGAACGCUGGCGGCGUGCCUAAUACAUGCAAGUCGAGCGAACAGACGAGGAGCUUGCUCCUCUGACGUUAGCGGCGGACGGGUGAGUAACACGUGGAUAACCUACCUGUAAGACUGGGAUAACUUCGGGAAACCGGAGCUAAUACCGGAUAAUAUAUUGAACCGCAUGGUUCAAUAGUGAAAGACGGUUUUGCUGUCACGUAUAGAUGGAUCCGCGCCGCAUUAGCUAGUUGGUAAGGUAACGGCUUACCAAGGCAACGAUGCGUAGCCGACCUGAGAGGGUGAUCGGCCACACUGGAACUGAGACACGGUCCAGACUCCUACGGGAGGCAGCAGUAGGGAAUCUUCCGCAAUGGGCGAAAGCCUGACGGAGCAACGCCGCGUGAGUGAUGAAGGUCUUCGGAUCGUAAAACUCUGUUAUUAGGGAAGAACAAAUGUGUAAGUAACUAUGCACGUCUUGACGGUACCUAAUCAGAAAGCCACGGCUAACUACGUG
Molecule: ribosomal RNA, 497 nt
Filed under: uncultured bacterium
Lineage: Bacteria
Description: partial 16S ribosomal RNA
Rfam family: Bacterial small subunit ribosomal RNA
Source: RNAcentral